UUCAUAAUAACUCAACGAAUCGCAUGGCCUUGCGCCGGCGAUGGUUCAUUCAAAUUUCUGCCCUAUCAACUUUCGAUGGUAGGAUAGUGGCCUACCAUGGUCUCAACGGGUAACGGGGAAUUAGGGUUCUAUUCCGGAGAGGGAGCCUGAGAAACGGCUACCACAUCCAAGGAAGGCAGCAGGCGCGCAAAUUACCCAAUCCCAAUUCGGGGAGGUAGUGACAAUAAAUACUGAUACAGGGCUCUUUUGGGUCUUGUAAUUGGAAUGAGUACAAUCUAAAUCCCUUAACGAGGAACAAUUGGAGGGCAAGUCUGGUGCCAGCAGCCGCGGUAAUUCCAGCUCCAAUAGCGUAUAUUAAAGUUGUUGCCGUUAAAAAGCUCGUAGUUGAACCUUGGGCCUGGCUGAUCUGUCCUCCUAAUCGAGCGCACGGAUUCGGUCGGGCCUUUCCUUCUGGGGAGCCCGAUGCCCUUCACUGGGCGUCGUGGGGAACCAGGACUUUUACCUUGAAAAAAUUAGAGUGUUCAAAGCAGGCCUUUGCUCGAAUACAUUAGCAUGGAAUAAUAGAAUAGGACAGAGGUUCUAUUUUGUUGGUUUCUAGGACCGCUGUAAUGAUUAAUAGGGAUAGUCGGGGGCGUCCGUAUUCAAUUGUCAGAGGUGAAAUUCUUGGAUUUAUUGAAGACGAACUACUGCGAAAGCAUUCGCCAAGGAUGUUUUCAUUAAUCAGUGAACGAAAGUUAGGGGAUCGAAGACGAUCAGAUACCGUCGUAGUCUUAACCAUAAACUAUGCCGACUAGGGAUCGGACGGUGGUUUUUUUAUGCCCCGUUCGGCACCUUACGA
RNAcentral lists this ribosomal RNA (838 nucleotides) under Knufia epidermidis. RNAcentral describes it as "SSU rRNA". It matches the Rfam family "Eukaryotic small subunit ribosomal RNA", at positions 250 to 1093 of the family's 1831-position model. The record is from RNAcentral. Lineage: Eukaryota; Fungi; Ascomycota; Eurotiomycetes; Chaetothyriales; Trichomeriaceae.